AGGAAGAGAGACCCUGUAAUUAAUCUGUAUGGCCAGUUUGGUUUUAGUACUUCAAAUUUCAGUGCUGAACCAAAGCCUGUUGGGCUCUCCAUUCCAGGCACUCUGUUUCAGGACCUCAUUCUGCAGGUUCUUAACUCGUGCUUGGCUUGUGACUCCAAUGAAAUUGCUCAAGUACAUCAGCUGUAAAUAGACUUAGACCUUAGAAUUAGGCCUAAUUAACCCUUAAAAAUAAGAAAAAUGAACAAGUGCCUGAAUUAAAUGUUAACUGAACACCAACUCUCCUCAAAGCUAUGUCAACUACUAAAGUAUUUUUUUUAUAAUUGAUAAUGUUGUGCACAUUACUGUCUUGUGUAGCACAGCAGGAACAGUUUAACUGUCAAGACCCAUUCCUCAUCUCUCCUCCUUGAAAUCCUGAGCUAUUUUUUCUGUGUAUUCUGAAACAAAAAUAAGGUCUUGAAUCAUUUCCUGCUUCUGCAUAGGAGGCCCAGUGAGCAGACUGUUUUACAUGUCUGUAAAUCCUGCAGGAAUGUCCAAACCAGCCCAGUAUAAUGUUGGGCUUGUUUCCAAAGCUUAUGGAGAUGUGGGGCUUGGUGAGUUGCACGGAAGCAGGAAAGACAAGGAAGUUCUGCAAGAAUGAAAAUAAAUAGUGACUUUGGAACAAAACACUUGGUUGCAAGUGCAGGAGCUCUCCUCUAGAGUUGUCCUAAGAUGGGGUCACAGCAGCUGCUGUGAGUUAGGAGGUGCCUCAACAAAAGUGGUCAUUGUUCUAUACUCCAGAAGUUCUAGUUUAUUUUAGUCUUGCUUUCCCUGUAGAAAUUUAGGUUAUCAAAAAAGAUGUAUUUGUUUUCCACUCCUAGGAGCUAUUAGUUUCCAUUCUGGCUUCCAAAGAGAUUGUACAGCUCUAAUUAGAGCCCUGCCAACUGACUGAUCUGCCAUUCCUCUUGAGUUUCUGGUUCAACAGGAAUGUUCGUCCAUAAGCCUUAAGUUUAUUCCUAAACCCCCUGACCUAAUGCCACAAACCAAAACAGCCCUAAGGUGACUGUUCUGAGAAUGGAGUGCCCCCAGCAGAACAGUGCAGGGAUCCUGAGACCAUUUCACACAUUCCAUAGUUCUUUAAGCUCUUUAGUCAGUCACCUGGUCCCACAGAACUCUCCCUGCUGGACUGGCACCUCCCAAGGGCUUUGGACAUAAUCACACUCGAAGGCCAUGUGGAUCCUGCAGGCUUCAACAGCAAGACACAGGCUAAGGGAGCUACCAUAAAUUCUGACAUUACACCAUUUCUAAGGCCCAUGGAUUUUUCAUUCAAAAAUGAAAACCAAAAAUAUAUCAAAAUACAGAUGCUGGUCUUCAGAAAAAUUUUAGAAGUUCCCAGAUAUUUGUUUUGAAAGUAACUGAACCCUGAGGUUUAGGUAAUAUUUCUUGAUAAUUUUAUGCAGCAGAAAGGCUUCAUUCCUCACAAAAAAAAAAAACCAAACUGUCCCAGAAACAUCACUGCAUAAACUACACACUUCCUACACCACAAUGUUCAUUACUGAGAAAUAAACCCACUUACUUGAAUGUGGAUUCAAAUAUAUAUGCUAAUGUUAAACUGUUCUGGCUCCCCCAAAAAGUGCAAAUCUUUUCUGUAGGAAUAUUUAGAUGGGGAAAAAAAAAAAGGGUAUCCCAAAACAUGACUCAUAGUGAAAUGGAGUAAGAUCUCUUAACUGAGAGGAGCUUCACAAAUCUCCAGCAACAACUUUCAUGCUUUCUUUCACACUUUUUAUAUUUGUAAAGUGAGGUAACCUAUUCCUUUAAGAUCUAGACACAAGUCUGUGAUUUGAUACAAAAGUGAUUGUAAAGGCUACUUCAGUUUUUACUGUAGGAUUCACCAGAUUACUUAGAAAGCAAAAACACCUGUCAGCAGGUCGACCCAAAAUUUGUUUGGAUGCUAUAUUGAGAGACAAAAUAUUUUAGUCAUACCAAGAAAUAAUACCAUUUUUUAGCUGGCAGCCAAUUGUAUUAUUCUUUGAUUCCUGAAGUUUCCCAUGGCACUGACUGAUAGAAUUUUGCAUCUUACUUUGGUACAGUGUCUCAUAUUUUUGAGAAUUUCUUUUCAUGUUUUACAGAUUCCAUGGCUGAGUUUUGCUGUGCAGGGUAAGUCUCUUGUUACUGUCAGUGAUAUCCCUGAUCAAUUCUUCUCCCUUCCUGUUAGGAUGGAUGGACUGAAAUGCCAAAACCCCUGAUAUUCCUGCAGACAGAUGGGUCAAAGGGCUGAGGUCAAGCACAGACACGGAUUUGUUGGCCAGAAGAGACGAAGAAGGAAAUAUUUUUUCUUUGGUGGUGAACCCACCCUGUGGUAUAACUACAUCUGUUCUUUGUACUUUCUCUUAAGCUAAAACUGCACCUCAAGAAUACUUCAGGGAACUUGCCAGCACAGCUGAGGUGGAGUUUGAGGCCUGAAGAUGGAACUCCCUGGC
This is a long non-coding RNA of Serinus canaria (Common canary), 2456 nucleotides long. RefSeq lists it as uncharacterized. The record is from RefSeq and is a predicted model, not a curated record. NCBI's taxonomy places the organism in Eukaryota, Metazoa, Chordata, Aves, Passeriformes, Fringillidae. The transcript is spliced from 3 exons.